Oxyura jamaicensis (ruddy duck) is the source of this 784-nucleotide long non-coding RNA. RefSeq lists it as uncharacterized. The record is from RefSeq and is a predicted model, not a curated record. The transcript is spliced from 3 exons. Lineage: Eukaryota; Metazoa; Chordata; Aves; Anseriformes; Anatidae.
AUCAGCUCAAGUGGUGUUUCACAGUUAUGUAGGCUGAUGUUUCUCUCCUCUGAUUUCUUUAAUGUGGGCAAUGUUAGCUGUGAAGUCCUGAUCAACUAAUUGCUUUGGUCUUGCUAAUUGCGCUCAGCCUGAUCUACAAAAGGAAGAGUCAUUAGAGUGUUUUCAAUGUUUCCUCUGGACAGGGCCAGGUCUCUGUGAAGCAAUAUUCAGCCAGACUAGAUGACAGUGUUUCUGUCAGAAGCAGUGUUUUGCUCUUGGUUUUCCUCUAUUUGUGAUCACCCAGCCCAAAAGUAAAGCCUGCAGGCCCAUGACGGCAGGGUGAUACAGGAAGAAUAAAGAGACUUCGUAUUACAGAGAGAAUUUUUAUGGAUGGAAGCAGGCAGAAACCCAAAAAUGUUUCCUUGAAACAUUUUGGCAGCUCCAAAAUAUACGUGGCAAAAAAAGUGUAGAAAUAGCUUCUGACAGUCAGCUCAACUCCUGGGAACGGGAGCUCCCCUCCACAUUUGGUCCAUGAUCAUCUCAAGUCUGACUUAGCCAAAACAGAAAGCAGGAUCUUGAUCCAAAACUGCUUAUUAGGUCUAAGUUGAGCUUUGAGGUAAGCCUCCAAAAGCACUUUAAAUUGACCCUGCUCUUUAAGACAUAUAAAGCUCAGCCUAAGUGGCACCCCAUUUAGCUACUCUCUAAUGCUGUGCAUUCUGCAGCAGGGAGUUUAUCAGCUCUUGGUGCCCUCUAUUAUGAACCCUUUUUCAUGCAUGCACUUACUUGUGACUGAAAACAAAAACUA